GAACUCAGCCAAGUACGAUCCAUCCUGCCCUGUGAUGCCGGUGAUGAGAGCCACCUUCUUGUCGCCCAUCUCCCCGCCGCCGUCCUCGUCUCCCGGGGCCGCAGCUCCGGCGCACGCUUCCGCCGCUGGUCGCGCCACCCUGCCGGCGGGGAAGGCGGUGGCCCAGGUGAGGAGAUAGCUCGGGGCGGAGGCGCGACCGCCGCCGCCCGAGGGCAGGGCCAGGGCGCCGGGGGCGGGCACCGAGAGGAGGACGGCUGCCGCCCCGAGCGCGGCUCGCACAUGGGUUGCCGGCACCCGGCGGCUACCUCUGCCGCGGAGGCAUCGCCCCGCCCGCCGCUCCCGGCGCAGCCGUCCCGCCCCGAGGCUGCCGCAGGUGCAACCCCAGCGCCG
RNAcentral lists this long non-coding RNA (390 nucleotides) under Gallus gallus (chicken). The record is from RNAcentral. Lineage: Eukaryota; Metazoa; Chordata; Aves; Galliformes; Phasianidae.